GCUCAGGCUGCCGUAACAAAGUGCCACAGACUGGGUGGAUUAAACAACAGAAAUUUAUUUUCUGACAGUUUUGGAGACUGGAAGUCCAAGAACAAGGUGUCAGAAGGCCUCUCUCCUUGACUUGCAGAUGAUCAGUUUCUCACCGUGUCUUCACAUGGUCUAUGCUCCAUGAGAGCAAGGACUUUGUCUGUCUUGCCUGCUGCAUUCUUCCUGGUUCCUGGAUAAGGGAUAGGAUCUCAACAAAUAUCCCAUGAAGGAAGGAUGGCUAGAUGGAUAACUGGCUGGAUGGAUAGUCAUUUGCUGCACUCCCUGGAAGAGAUCACCGUGGCUGCCCUGCUUGGCUUGGCUGUGAUUGGUGUGGCCUCAGGAUAUAAGCAGUAGUGAUGUAUGCAACACGGGAGCAGGAGUCUUGGAGCCAACCCUGUCACUCCCCUCUGCCAUGCGACAGGAGCAGCACAGCCCAGAUGAGAGCUGCAUCCUCAGCCUGGAUCUCAGAAUAAAAAGCCCAUGGAGCAGAGCCACAGUUGGCCCACAGGGACCUACAGAGUGAGCCAAACACACUCGCAGUGUUGUAAGUCUCUGAGAUACUGGUGUUGCAGCACAACUGAACAAAAUCUCAUGGGAGAAGUCUCUUCUUUAUCAUCAUCCCAACUGAACUCUCUUCAGUUUUGACCUAGGCAUCCACCUGCCUAAUUUUUAAACCCUUUUAGGCAUCAUUCAAACUAACGUGCAUUUGCCAUAGACUCUGUAUAUGACCCAGUCCAGAACUUGGGGUUGAAAAGCACAAGGAAUAUAAUAAUAGCUAGUGAUCCUGAGAGCCUGCUCUGGGCCAGCUGCUGCAACAGGCACUUGUGCAGAUAGAGUGUCAGUUGUCCUCGUGUUACCCGAAGGAGGCAGGCAUUACAACUCUCCCCAAUUCAUUGAUGAGGAAAUUGAUGUGCCAAGGUGUUUAAUAACAAGACUAAGGUAAUACUUGAUCUAGCAAGAGGCAUUUGGAGGAACUGUACCCAAGCACGCUGACUCCUGUAUCCUAUAAGUCACACCGUUUUCAUCCAGUGAGCUUGCAGACGUGCAGUGAGAAAAUGUUCUUCCAUCAUGCCACCACUGUUUGGGGGGCAUAGAGCACAUGCCAGCCUCUGUGCCAGGACUGGGCGAAAGUAAGCCAGACAGACACAAAUCCUACAAUUCUUACCCUGAGGGAGACGAAAAGAGAGGAAGAAAAUAUUUUCCUCCACUGGUUUUUGUUUUUUAUAGUUUCAGGGGGCACAUGUACAGGUUACAUGGAUAUAUUGUGUAAUGGUGAGGUUGGGCUUCUGGUGAACCCAUCACCCGAAUAGUAAACAUUGCAUCUAAUAGGUAAUUUUUCAACCCUCACCCUCCUCCCACCCUUCUGGAUUUUGGAGUCACCAGUGUCUAUUAUUUCCCUCUUUAUGUCCAUGAGUAACCAUUGUUUAGCUCCCACUUAUAAGUGAGAACACACGGUAUUUGAUUUUCUGUUUCUGAGUCAUUUCACUUAGGAUAAUGGCCUCCAGCUCCAUCCAUGUUGCUGCAGAAGAUGUGAUUUCAUUCUUUUUUAUGGCUGUGGGGGGAAAACAUUUUUAACUAAUUACAUCUUAUUUAUAAGAAAUAUCUAGAAUAGGCAAAUCAUAGAGACAGAAAGAUGAGUGUUUCCCGGGGUAUGGAGGAUGGGGAGUGACCGUUUAAAGUGUAUGGGGUUUCCUUUUGAGAUGAUGAAAAUUUCUGGAACUAGAUAGCAGUGAUGGUUGAGCAACACUGUGAAUGUACCGAACGUCACAAAUAGCAAAUUUUAUGCACGUUUCAGCACAAUGAAAAUAAAAC
This 1839-nucleotide long non-coding RNA is filed under the name Homo sapiens (human). Its description in RNAcentral is "HSALNT0154370". Lineage: Eukaryota; Metazoa; Chordata; Mammalia; Primates; Hominidae. The record is from RNAcentral.